AGAGUUUGAUCCUGGCUCAGAACGUACGCUGGCGGCACGCCUUAUACAUGCAAGUCGAACGAAGUAGCAAUACUUAGUGGCAGACGGGUGAGUAACAUGUGGGUAUCUUCCCUUUGGCCUGGAAUAACACGAGGAAACUUGUGCUAAUACUGGAUAAGUCUUUACGGAGAAAGCUUUAUGCACCAUUGGAUGAGCCCGCACUUGAUUAGUUUGUUGGUGGGGUAAUGGCCUACCAAGACAAUUAUCAAUAGCUGAUUUGAGAGGAUGAUCAGCCACAUUGGAACUGAGACACGGUCCAAACUCCUACGGGAGGCAGCAGUAGGGAAUCUUGCACAAUGGAGGAAACUCUGAUGCAGCGAUGCCGCGUGAGUGAAGAAGGCCCUUGGGUUGUAAAGCUCUUUCGUCGGGGAAGAAAAUGACUGUACCCGAAUAAGAAGGUCCGGCUAACUUCGUGCCAGCAGCCGCGGUAAUACGAAGGGACCUAGCGUAGUUCGGAAUUACUGGGCUUAAAGAGUUCGUAGGUUGUUAAAAAAGUUGGUGGUGAAAUCCCAGAGCUUAACUCUGGAACUGCCAUCAAAACUUUUUAGCUAGAGUAUGAUAGAGGAAAGCAGAAUUUCUAGUGUAGAGGUGAAAUUCGUAGAUAUUAGAAAGAAUACCAAUUGCGAAGGCAGCUUUCUGGAUCAUUACUGACACUGAGGAACGAAAGCAUGGGUAGCGAAGAGGAUUAGAUACCCUCGUAGUCCAUGCUGUAAACGAUGUGUGUUAGACGUUGGAAAUUUAUUUUCAGUGUCGCAGCGAAAGCAAUAAACACACCGCCUGGGGGAGUACGACCGCAAGGGUUAAAACUC
This 848-nucleotide ribosomal RNA is filed under the name uncultured Pelagibacterales bacterium. RNAcentral's name for it is "bacterial SSU rRNA". It matches the Rfam family "Bacterial small subunit ribosomal RNA", at positions 8 to 902 of the family's 1533-position model. Lineage: Bacteria; Pseudomonadati; Pseudomonadota; Alphaproteobacteria; Candidatus Pelagibacterales. The record is from RNAcentral.